RNAcentral lists this small RNA (28 nucleotides) under Bombyx mori (domestic silkworm). RNAcentral's name for it is "ovarian small RNA-5602". The record is from RNAcentral. Lineage: Eukaryota; Metazoa; Arthropoda; Insecta; Lepidoptera; Bombycidae.
UAAAUCCACGCUGUCGUGCGUCAGGGGG